RNAcentral lists this ribosomal RNA (1396 nucleotides) under Psychrobacter glaciei. Its description in RNAcentral is "bacterial SSU rRNA". It matches the Rfam family "Bacterial small subunit ribosomal RNA". The record is from RNAcentral. Lineage: Bacteria; Pseudomonadati; Pseudomonadota; Gammaproteobacteria; Moraxellales; Moraxellaceae.
AGUCGAGCGGAACGAUGAUAGCUUGCUAUCAGGCGUCGAGCGGCGGACGGGUGAGUAAUACUUAGGAAUCUACCUAGUAGUGGGGGAUAGCACGGGGAAACUCGUAUUAAUACCGCAUACGACCUACGGGAGAAAGGGGGCAGUUUACUGCUCUCGCUAUUAGAUGAGCCUAAGUCGGAUUAGCUAGAUGGUGGGGUAAAGGCCUACCAUGGCGACGAUCUGUAGCUGGUCUGAGAGGAUGAUCAGCCACACCGGGACUGAGACACGGCCCGGACUCCUACGGGAGGCAGCAGUGGGGAAUAUUGGACAAUGGGGGAAACCCUGAUCCAGCCAUGCCGCGUGUGUGAAGAAGGCCUUUUGGUUGUAAAGCACUUUAAGCAGUGAAGAAGACUCCGUGGUUAAUACCCACGGACGAUGACAUUAGCUGCAGAAUAAGCACCGGCUAACUCUGUGCCAGCAGCCGCGGUAAUACAGAGGGUGCAAGCGUUAAUCGGAAUUACUGGGCGUAAAGGGAGCGUAGGUGGCUCGAUAAGUCAGAUGUGAAAUCCCCGGGCUCAACCUGGGAACUGCAUCUGAUACUGUUGAGCUAGAGUAUGUGAGAGGAAGGUAGAAUUCCAGGUGUAGCGGUGAAAUGCGUAGAGAUCUGGAGGAAUACCGAUGGCGAAGGCAGCCUUCUGGCAUAAUACUGACACUGAGGCUCGAAAGCGUGGGUAGCAAACAGGAUUAGAUACCCUGGUAGUCCACGCCGUAAACGAUGUCUACUAGUCGUUGGGUCCCUUGAGGACUUAGUGACGCAGCUAACGCAAUAAGUAGACCGCCUGGGGAGUACGGCCGCAAGGUUAAAACUCAAAUGAAUUGACGGGGGCCCGCACAAGCGGUGGAGCAUGUGGUUUAAUUCGAUGCAACGCGAAGAACCUUACCUGGUCUUGACAUAUCUAGAAUCCUGCAGAGAUGCGGGAGUGCCUUCGGGAAUUAGAAUACAGGUGCUGCAUGGCUGUCGUCAGCUCGUGUCGUGAGAUGUUGGGUUAAGUCCCGCAACGAGCGCAACCCUUGUCCUUAGUUACCAGCGGGUUAAGCCGGGAACUCUAAGGAUACUGCCAGUGACAAACUGGAGGAAGGCGGGGACGACGUCAAGUCAUCAUGGCCCUUACGACCAGGGCUACACACGUGCUACAAUGGUAGGUACAGAGGGCAGCUACACAGCGAUGUGAUGCGAAUCUCAAAAAGCCUAUCGUAGUCCAGAUUGGAGUCUGCAACUCGACUCCAUGAAGUAGGAAUCGCUAGUAAUCGCGGAUCAGAAUGCCGCGGUGAAUACGUUCCCGGGCCUUGUACACACCGCCCGUCACACCAUGGGAGUUGAUUGCACCAGAAGUGGAUAGCUUAACCUCGGGGAGGC